Molecule: transfer RNA, 71 nt
Filed under: Ipomoea nil (Japanese morning glory)
Lineage: Eukaryota; Viridiplantae; Streptophyta; Magnoliopsida; Solanales; Convolvulaceae
Rfam family: tRNA
About the family: Transfer RNA (tRNA) molecules are approximately 80 nucleotides in length.
Source: Rfam by way of RNAcentral
GUGCAUUUAGUGUUGUGGUAUCAUAGUACCCUCCCACGGUUCAGACCGGGGUUCAAUUCCCCGAAUAUGCA